This 650-nucleotide ribosomal RNA is filed under the name uncultured bacterium. RNAcentral's name for it is "bacterial SSU rRNA". It matches the Rfam family "Bacterial small subunit ribosomal RNA", at positions 22 to 667 of the family's 1533-position model. The record is from RNAcentral.
GCUCAGAUUGAACGCUGGCGGCAUGCUUUACACAUGCAAGUCGAACGGCAGCGCGGGCUUCGGCCUGGCGGCGAGUGGCGAACGGGUGAGUAAUAUAUCGGAACGUACCCAAGAGUGGGGGAUAACGUAGCGAAAGUUACGCUAAUACCGCAUACGAUCUAAGGAUGAAAGCAGGGGAUCGCAAGACCUUGUGCUCCUGGAGCGGCCGAUAUCUGAUUAGCUAGUUGGUGAGGUAAAGGCUCACCAAGGCAACGAUCAGUAGCUGGUCUGAGAGGACGACCAGCCACACUGGAACUGAGACACGGUCCAGACUCCUACGGGAGGCAGCAGUGGGGAAUUUUGGACAAUGGGGGCAACCCUGAUCCAGCAAUGCCGCGUGAGUGAAGAAGGCCUUCGGGUUGUAAAGCUCUUUUGUCAGGGAAGAAAAGGCUGUGGCUAAUAUCCACAGCUGCUGACGGUACCUGAAGAAUAAGCACCGGCUAACUACGUGCCAGCAGCCGCGGUAAUACGUAGGGUGCAAGCGUUAAUCGGAAUUACUGGGCGUAAAGCGUGCGCAGGCGGUUUCGUAAGUCUGUCGUGAAAUCCCCGGGCUCAACCUGGGAAUGGCGAUGGAGACUGCGAGGCUAGAGUUUGGCAGAGGGGGGUAGAAU